CAAGAAACGAGGCCGAUGCGUGCGCUCGCCCGCCCGGCCCCGCUCCUAUACCUUGCCUACUGCACCGUUUGUUGCUUCCUGGCGGCGGAUCUGCUCGCCGCCAGGGACGAUUGAUACUAGCAACCCUGUAUAGAAGCCAUUGAAGCUCUGAGAAAACGGCGAAAUCAUA
This 169-nucleotide unclassified non-coding RNA is filed under the name soil metagenome. RNAcentral's name for it is "partial internal transcribed spacer 1". The record is from RNAcentral.